This 508-nucleotide ribosomal RNA is filed under the name uncultured bacterium. RNAcentral describes it as "bacterial SSU rRNA". It matches the Rfam family "Bacterial small subunit ribosomal RNA", at positions 791 to 1301 of the family's 1533-position model. The record is from RNAcentral.
UAGUCCACGCCGUAAACGAUGUUCACUCGCUGUAUGCGAUACACAGUAUGCGGCCAAGCGAAAGUAUUAAGUAGACCGCCUGGGGAGUACGGCCGCAAGGUUAAAACUCAAAUGAAUUGACGGGGGCCCGCACAAGCGGUGGAGCAUGUGGUUUAAUUCGAUGCAACGCGAAGAACCUUACCUACUCUUGACAUCCACAGAACUUGGCAGAGAUGCCUUGGUGCCUUCGGGAACUGUGAGACAGGUGCUGCAUGGCUGUCGUCAGCUCGUGUUGUGAAAUGUUGGGUUAAGUCCCGCAACGAGCGCAACCCUUAUCCUUAUUUGCCAGCACGUAAUGGUGGGAACUUUAGGGAGACUGCCGGUGAUAAACCGGAGGAAGGUGGGGACGACGUCAAGUCAUCAUGGCCCUUACGAGUAGGGCUACACACGUGCUACAAUGGCGAGUACAGAGGGUUGCGAAGCCGCGAGGUGGAGCUAAUCUCAUAAAGCUCGUCGUAGUCCGGAUUGG